UUUGUUUGAUAUUAAAUUUGUAACGAUUAAUAUUGAAAUUAGUAAAUAGGUGAGAGAUUUUUGGCCAAAAAUCUUACCAAAAAUGUAUAUGUAGAUAUGUUAUACAACUGGUAUUACAUAAUGUAGGUAUUUUUUUCAUAUUUCGAUAAGUACAAACUAAACUAAUGUAUGUGUAUGUUGUGUACAUUUUUCCUAAACUAUUGGUUUUUCAUAUGGGGAUGCUAACACCAUGCAAGCUGAUUGCCAAUGUUGAUGACUCUAGUAUUAGUGUGAGUAGGGAUGUUAAAUACGGUUUCUGAUCUAGUCCGGUCCUGUUUAUUUAAAGUCCAACACUAAAUGAGCCAUAACCCUUUUUAAGUAU
Molecule: small RNA, 361 nt
Filed under: Arabidopsis thaliana (thale cress)
Lineage: Eukaryota; Viridiplantae; Streptophyta; Magnoliopsida; Brassicales; Brassicaceae
Description: ATSL258350
Source: RNAcentral